Molecule: ribosomal RNA, 109 nt
Filed under: Scophthalmus maximus (turbot)
Lineage: Eukaryota; Metazoa; Chordata; Actinopteri; Pleuronectiformes; Scophthalmidae
Source: RNAcentral
GCUUACGGCCACACCGCCUGGUAUACGCUUGAUCUCGGAAGAUAAGGUAGGUUGGGCCUGGUUAGUACUUGGAUGGUAGACCGCCUGGGAAUACCAGGUGCUGUAAGCU